This is a long non-coding RNA of Pseudophryne corroboree (corroboree frog), 283 nucleotides long. RefSeq lists it as uncharacterized. The transcript has 4 exons. NCBI's taxonomy places the organism in Eukaryota, Metazoa, Chordata, Amphibia, Anura, Myobatrachidae. The record is from RefSeq and is a predicted model, not a curated record.
UACUGGAUUGGAAAGAACAGGAUUGAGACCUCCACCCUAAGGUCUUUAAAUUGACCGGUUCCUCAAAAGGCCUGGACCUGUUGAAAGGGCAAUUUAUUCACUAAUAAUUUCCAAUCCGCAUCCCUUUGGAAGGAUAUAUUAAAAGAAUCUCCUUCCCCUAAAAGAGCUAAUUAGCCCCUCAAGCUGUGAUUUAAGUGGGAGCAAUUAUUUGGGUUCAACUACCCCUACUAGAGGCAAUGAACAGGAUUCGAUUGACCUUAGAUUUCAGUAAGUAAUGUGUAUA